Hyaena hyaena (striped hyena) is the source of this 300-nucleotide long non-coding RNA. RefSeq lists it as uncharacterized. The transcript has 3 exons. NCBI's taxonomy places the organism in Eukaryota, Metazoa, Chordata, Mammalia, Carnivora, Hyaenidae. The record is from RefSeq and is a predicted model, not a curated record.
AAUACAUACAGCUGAAGCCACUGCCCUCUGUGCUUGGUCCUCUAGCAGCUGCACGCCCCGGGAGGUGGACACGCUUAUUAUCUCCAUCCUUCCAGAGAAAGAAGCUUGAGCUCAUAAAGUUACACAUCCAGUGAAACGAUUCGCUACUACGGUGACCAUGCGCUAUAGCAAGCUUGAUCACUCGGGGAGUAUCGAGGGCCAGGCGGCCAGCACCGCAGCUGUGAGUGUGACAGAGAGAGGAGCUCUGGGGAGAAACGGCUCAGUCCUACCACACAACCUAUUUUCAGCAUUUGUAACUUA